This 348-nucleotide unclassified non-coding RNA is filed under the name soil metagenome. RNAcentral's name for it is "partial contains 5.8S ribosomal RNA, internal transcribed spacer 2, and large subunit ribosomal RNA". The stretch from base 1 to 120 matches the Rfam family "5.8S ribosomal RNA", at positions 35 to 154 of the family's 154-position model. The record is from RNAcentral.
GAUGAAGAACGUAGCGAAAUGCGAUAAGUAAUGUGAAUUGCAGAAUUCAGUGAAUCAUCGAGUCUUUGAACGCACAUUGCGCCCCCUGGUAUUCCGGGGGGCAUGCCUGUCCGAGCGUCAUUGCUGCCCUCAAGCACGGCUUGUGUGUUGGGCCCCCGUCCCCGGUUUCCCCCGGGGACGGGCCCGAAAGGCAGCGGCGGCACCGUGUCCGGUCCUCGAGCGUAUGGGGCUUUGUCACCCGCUCUGUAGGCCCGGCCGGCGCCAGCCGACACCCAACUUUAUUUCUAAGGUUGACCUCGGAUCAGGUAGGGAUACCCGCUGAACUUAAGCAUAUCAAUAAGCGGAGGA